GUGUGAUGUGGGGUAAUACAAAUUUUAAUUAUGAAGUCGAUUUAGCUUAUAUGCACAUAUCAUAUAAUUAAGGGUAGUUAACUUUUGAAGAGUUAAACUAACCAUAGACGGAGUCGAAUAGUAGUUUUGACAUAGAAAACACGUAAGGUGGAAUAGUCGUGGUUAUAAUGACUAAUCUAACCACCUUGUGAAUUAUGAUGAUAGUUUGACUCUUGACAAGCUAGAUGGAGGCUUGGAAUGAAGCGGGUCAAACGGAGCAAGUACGAAAAGGAAAGCGUAAUUUGGAUGCGAGGUUGUAAAUACGACAAAAGCUAUAUUUGAAAUAUGGUUCCGACACGAAAUGAAACGGGUCGGGACAUAUAAAAUAAUGAUAAACCAUGUUUAAUGGUAAAAUGGGCGAAAUGGUAAUUGGUCACGAGAUGACAUAAGC
RNAcentral lists this long non-coding RNA (430 nucleotides) under Helianthus annuus (common sunflower). RNAcentral's name for it is "hypothetical non coding rna". The record is from RNAcentral. Lineage: Eukaryota; Viridiplantae; Streptophyta; Magnoliopsida; Asterales; Asteraceae.